AUAUCAAUAAGCGGAGGAAAAGAAACCAACAGGGAUUGCCCUAGUAACGGCGAGUGAAGCGGCAACAGCUCAAAUUUGAAAUCUGGCCCUUCCGGGGUCCGAGUUGUAAUUUGCAGAGGAAGUUUCGGCGUCGAUCUCGGGCUAAGUCCCCUGGAACGGGGCGCCCUAGAGGGUGAGAGCCCCGUAUCCGCCCGGGCGUGCUUCGCCGUGUGAAGCUCCUUCGACGAGUCGAGUUGUUUGGGAAUGCAGCUCUAAGCGGGAGGUAUAUUUCUUCUAAAGCUAAAUACCGGCCAGAGACCGAUAGCGCACAAGUAGAGUGAUCGAAAGAUGAAAAGCACUUUGGAAAGAGAGUUAAAAAGCACGUGAAAUUGUUGAAAGGGAAGCUCUUGCCGCCAGACUUGUCGCGGUUGCUCAGCCGUCCCCCCCACCUUGGGGGGGCGGUGUACUCUUCCGCCGGCAGGCCAGCGUCGGUUCGGGCGGCCGGAUAAAGGCCCCGGGAAUGUAGCACCUCUCGGGGUGUGUUAUAGCCCGGGGCGCAAUGCGGCCAGCCCGGUCUGAGGCACGCGUCCACGAGGACGCUGGCGUAAUGGUUGCAAGCGACCCGUCUUGAAACACGGACCAAGGAGUCUAACAUCUGUGCGAGUGUUUGGGUCUCACACCCAUACGCGCAAUGAAAGUGAACGGAGGUGGGAACCCCCCCUCGAGGGGCGCACCAUCGACCGAUCCUGAUGUCUUCGGAUGGAUUUGAGUAAGAGCAUAGCUGUUGGGACCCGAAAGAUGGUGAACUAUUCCCGGAUAGGGUGAAGCCAGAGGAAACUCUGGUGGAGGCUCGCAGCGGUUCUGACGUGCAAAUCGAUCGUCAAAUCUAGGAAUAGGGGCGAAAGACUAAUCGAACCAU
Molecule: ribosomal RNA, 898 nt
Filed under: Roccella balfourii
Lineage: Eukaryota; Fungi; Ascomycota; Arthoniomycetes; Arthoniales; Roccellaceae
Description: LSU rRNA
Rfam family: Eukaryotic large subunit ribosomal RNA
Source: RNAcentral